GCGACACCGCGUGAAGGAUGACACUCUUUUCGAGCGUAAACUUCUGYUCUGAGGGACGAAAUUUUUGACGGUACCUCAGGAGAAAGCACCGGCUAAUUCCGUGCCAGCAGCCGCGGUAAGACGGAAGGUGCAAGCGUUACUCGGAAUUACUGGGCGUAAAGCGUCCGCAGGCGUCCCACCCAGUCUGGCGUAAAAGCGAGGAGCUCAACUCCGCGUUCGUGCCGGAAACUAGUGGGAUAGAGUCAUUCAGAGGCAUCUGGAAUGCCAUGUGUAGGGGUAAAAUCCGUUGAUCCAUGGUAGAACGCCGAAAGCGAAGGCAGGGUGCUGGGAAUGUACUGACGCUCAGGGACGAAAGCGUGGGGAGCGAAGGGGAUUAGAUACCCCCGUAGUCCACGCCCUAAACGAUGUGUGCUCGGUGUGAGAUCGUUCAAUCUGAUUUCGUGCCCAAGCUAACGCGGUAAGCACACCGCCUGAGUAGUACGGCCGCAAGGCUAAAACUUARAGGAAUAGACGGGGACCCACACAAGCGGUGGAGCAUGGGGUUUAAUUCGAUAAUAAGCGGAGAACCUCACCUAGGCUUGACAUCCUGAGAACAUUCUCGAAAGAGAAAAGUGCCGCAAGGAACUCAGUGACAGGUGAUGCACGGUCGUCGUCAGCUCGUGCCUUGAGGUGUACUGUUAAGUCAGCAAACGAGCGCAACCCUCAUCCUAUGUUGCUUUU
This 720-nucleotide ribosomal RNA is filed under the name uncultured bacterium. Its description in RNAcentral is "bacterial SSU rRNA". It matches the Rfam family "Bacterial small subunit ribosomal RNA", at positions 391 to 1122 of the family's 1533-position model. The record is from RNAcentral.